CCUACGGGAGGCUGCAGUGGGGAAUAUUGGACAAUGGGCGAAAGCCUGAUCCAGCCAUGCCGCGUGUGUGAAGAAGGCCUUCGGGUUGUAAAGCACUUUCAGUGGGGAAGAAAGCCUUGGGGCUAAUACCCUCGAGGAAGGACAUCACCCACAGAAGAAGCACCGGCUAACUCCGUGCCAGCAGCCGCGGUAAUACGGAGGGUGCGAGCGUUAAUCGGAAUUACUGGGCGUAAAGCGCGCGUAGGCGGUCUGAUAAGCCGGUUGUGAAAGCCCCGGGCUCAACCUGGGAACGGCAUCCGGAACUGUCAGGCUAGAGUGCAGGAGAGGAAGGUAGAAUUCCCGGUGUAGCGGUGAAAUGCGUAGAGAUCGGGAGGAAUACCAGUGGCGAAGGCGGCCUUCUGGACUGACACUGACGCUGAGGUGCGAAAGCGUGGGUAGCAAACAGGAUUAGAUACCCCUAUAGUC
This 465-nucleotide ribosomal RNA is filed under the name Vreelandella stevensii. RNAcentral's name for it is "partial 16S ribosomal RNA". It matches the Rfam family "Bacterial small subunit ribosomal RNA", at positions 338 to 795 of the family's 1533-position model. Lineage: Bacteria; Pseudomonadati; Pseudomonadota; Gammaproteobacteria; Oceanospirillales; Halomonadaceae. The record is from RNAcentral.